UACGUAGGGUGCGAGCGUUGUCCGGAAUUAUUGGGCGUAAAGAGCUUGUAGGCGGUUUGUCGCGUUGUCCGUGAAAAUUUACAGCUCAACUGUGAACUUGCGGGCGAUACGGGCAGGCUAGAGUACUGCAGGGGAGACUGGAAUUCCUGGUGUAGCGGUGAAAUGCGCAGAUAUCAGGAGGAACACCGGUGGCGAAGGCGGGUCUCUGGGCCGUAACUGACGCUGAGGAGCGAAAGCGUGGGGAGCGAACAGG
Molecule: ribosomal RNA, 253 nt
Filed under: uncultured bacterium
Lineage: Bacteria
Description: partial 16S ribosomal RNA
Rfam family: Bacterial small subunit ribosomal RNA
Source: RNAcentral